Molecule: long non-coding RNA, 798 nt
Organism: Oncorhynchus keta (chum salmon)
Lineage: Eukaryota; Metazoa; Chordata; Actinopteri; Salmoniformes; Salmonidae
Exons: 3
Source: RefSeq, a predicted model, not a curated record
GGAGGUUGGGUUGUGUCUAAAGACAUUGUGGUGUAGAGGAUGGGUUGUGUCUAAAGACAUUGUGGUGUGGAGGUUGGGUUGUGUCUCAAGACAUUGUGGUGUGGAGGUUGGGUUGUGUCUCAAGACAUUGUGGUGUGGAGGUUGGGUUGUGUCUCAAGACAUUGUGGUGUGGAGGUUGGGUUGUGUCUCAAGACAUUGUGGUGUGGAGGUUGGGUUGUGUCUCAAGACAUUGUGGUGUGGAGGUUGGGUUGUGUCUCAAGACAUUGUGGUGUGGAGGUUGGGUUGUGUCUCAAGACAUUGUGGUGUGGAGGUUGGGUUGUCUAAAGACAUUGUGGUGUGGAGGUUGGGUUGUGUCUCAAGACAUUGUGGUGUGGAGGUUGGGUUGUCUAAAGAGGACCACAAUGGAAAUAGAAAUAGGCCUACGACUUAUGUGUGUGUCCAUUUUGAUUUUUAAUGCAUUUGGUUGAUUGUGAUUAUAGCCAGCUGAGCCUGUGGGCAGACAGAUGAGAGAGGAUGUAACUGGAUCAAGGCAGUGACUGACUCCUGUAGUACAGCCACAGCAGGCCUCUGGGGCGGGAAGCGCCUGUGUCCCCUCUGAAACAUGACGACUACACCAGCAGGGAGGUCAAAGGGAAGCUGACCCCAAAGACAGAGCUCAUCUACAUACAGUCUCUCACAUUCAGCCUGGGGACAAAUUAGAUUGGCCCAUGUUUGCAUGAAUUUUGUACCAUGCUGGCAGGAAAAAUGAUGUUUUCCUCCUAAAAUUGAGAGAACACAGCUAGACACCAAAUCAAUUGC